AUGUGGUUGUUGGCCCUUCUUUUUUCCCUGACAGUGGGAGGCACCAUGGGACAAGACGUGCAGCAGCCCCCUGCGUUGAUGGCUCUGGAAGGAGCCUCUGUGAAGGUGAACUGUACAUUCCAGACAACUGGCUUCAAUGGGCUGUCCUGGUACCAGCAAAGUGAUGAUGGAGCGCCCGUCUUUCUCGCUUACAAUGUUCUGGAUGGGUUGGAGAAGAGAGGCCGUUUUUCUUCCUUCCUCAGUCGCUCUAAUACAUACAGUUACCUCCUUCUGACGGGGACGCAGAUCAAAGACUCUGCCUCCUACUUCUGUGCUGUGAGAGACAUGGUGACAAUGAGCCCCUUUCAGCUGUAA
Non-coding RNA from Echinops telfairi (small Madagascar hedgehog), 354 nucleotides. The record is from the annotation of a RefSeq genome assembly. Lineage: Eukaryota; Metazoa; Chordata; Mammalia; Afrosoricida; Tenrecidae.